GAUGAACGCUGGCGGCGUGCCUAAUACAUGCAAGUCGAGCGAACAGACGAGGAGCUUGCUCCUCUGACGUUAGCGGCGGACGGGUGAGUAACACGUGGAUAACCUACCUAUAAGACUGGGAUAACUUCGGGAAACCGGAGCUAAUACCGGAUAAUAUAUUGAACCGCAUGGUUCAAUAGUGAAAGACGGUUUUGCUGUCACUUAUAGAUGGAUCCGCGCCGCAUUAGCUAGUUGGUAAGGUAACGGCUUACCAAGGCAACGAUGCGUAGCCGACCUGAGAGGGUGAUCGGCCACACUGGAACUGAGACACGGUCCAGACUCCUACGGGAGGCAGCAGUAGGGAAUCUUCCGCAAUGGGCGAAAGCCUGACGGAGCAACGCCGCGUGAGUGAUGAAGGUCUUCGGAUCGUAAAACGCUGUUAUUAGGGAAGAACAGAUGUGUAAGUAACUAUGCACGUCUUGACGGUACCUAAUCAGAAAACCACGGCUAACUACGU
Molecule: ribosomal RNA, 496 nt
Filed under: uncultured bacterium
Lineage: Bacteria
Description: partial 16S ribosomal RNA
Rfam family: Bacterial small subunit ribosomal RNA
Source: RNAcentral